This 1408-nucleotide ribosomal RNA is filed under the name uncultured Synechococcus sp. RNAcentral describes it as "bacterial SSU rRNA". It matches the Rfam family "Bacterial small subunit ribosomal RNA". The record is from RNAcentral. Lineage: Bacteria; Bacillati; Cyanobacteriota; Cyanophyceae; Synechococcales; Synechococcaceae.
AGUCGAACGAACCUUCGGGUUAGUGGCGGACGGGUGAGUAACGCGUGAGAAUCUGCCCUCAGGAGGGGGAUAACGGCUGGAAACGGCCGCUAAUACCCCAUAUGCCGAGAGGUGAAAUGAAUUUCGCCUGAGGAUGAGCUCGCGUCUGAUUAGCUAGUUGGUGAGGUAAUGGCUCACCAAGGCUUCGAUCAGUAGCUGGUCUGAGAGGAUGAUCAGCCACACUGGGACUGAGACACGGCCCAGACUCCUACGGGAGGCAGCAGUGGGGAAUUUUCCGCAAUGGGCGAAAGCCUGACGGAGCAACGCCGCGUGAGGGAUGAAGGCCUCUGGGCUGUAAACCUCUUUUAUCAAGGAAGAAGAUCUGACGGUACUUGAUGAAUAAGCCACGGCUAAUUCCGUGCCAGCAGCCGCGGUAAUACGGGAGUGGCAAGCGUUAUCCGGAAUUAUUGGGCGUAAAGCGUCCGCAGGCGGUUUUGAAAGUCUGUUGUUAAAGCGUGGAGCUUAACUCCAUUUCAGCAAUGGAAACUACAAGACUAGAGUGUGGUAGGGGCAGAGGGAAUUCCCGGUGUAGCGGUGAAAUGCGUAGAUAUCGGGAAGAACACCAGUGGCGAAGGCGCUCUGCUGGGCCAUAACUGACGCUCAUGGACGAAAGCCAGGGGAGCGAAAGGGAUUAGAUACCCCUGUAGUCCUGGCCGUAAACGAUGAACACUAGGUGUCGGGGGAAUCGACCCCCUCGGUGUCGUAGCCAACGCGUUAAGUGUUCCGCCUGGGGAGUACGCACGCAAGUGUGAAACUCAAAGGAAUUGACGGGGGCCCGCACAAGCGGUGGAGUAUGUGGUUUAAUUCGAUGCAACGCGAAGAACCUUACCAGGGUUUGACAUCCUGCGAAUCCCUUGGAAACUUGGGAGUGCCUUCGGGAGCGCAGUGACAGGUGGUGCAUGGCUGUCGUCAGCUCGUGUCGUGAGAUGUUGGGUUAAGUCCCGCAACGAGCGCAACCCACGUCUUUAGUUGCCAGCAUUUAGUUGGGCACUCUAGAGAGACUGCCGGUGAUAAACCGGAGGAAGGUGUGGAUGACGUCAAGUCAUCAUGCCCCUUACAUCCUGGGCUACACACGUACUACAAUGCUACGGACAAAGGGCAGCAAACUCGCGAGAGCUAGCAAAUCCCAUAAACCGUGGCUCAGUUCAGAUCGUAGGCUGCAACUCGCCUACGUGAAGGAGGAAUCGCUAGUAAUCGCAGGUCAGCAUACUGCGGUGAAUACGUUCCCGGGCCUUGUACACACCGCCCGUCACACCAUGGAAGUUGGCCACGCCCGAAGUCGUUACUCCAACCCUUGUGGAGGAGGAUGCCGAAGGUGGGGCUGAUGACUGGGGUGAAGUCGUAACAAGGUAGCCGUACCGGAAGGUGC